RNAcentral lists this ribosomal RNA (689 nucleotides) under uncultured Microbacteriaceae bacterium. RNAcentral describes it as "bacterial SSU rRNA". It matches the Rfam family "Bacterial small subunit ribosomal RNA", at positions 95 to 798 of the family's 1533-position model. The record is from RNAcentral. Lineage: Bacteria; Bacillati; Actinomycetota; Actinomycetes; Micrococcales; Microbacteriaceae.
GUGGCGAACGGGUGGGUAACACGUGAGCAAUCUGCCCUUGACUCUGGGAUAACUGCGGGAAACUGUAGCUAAUACCGGAUACUUUCCUCGCUGGGCAUCCAGCGGGGAAGAAAGAAUUUCGGUCAAGGAUGAGCUCGCGGCCUAUCAGCUAGUUGGUGAGGUAAUGGCUCACCAAGGCGACGACGGGUAGCCGGCCUGAGAGGGUGACCGGCCACACUGGAACUGAGACACGGUCCAGACUCCUACGGGAGGCAGCAGUGGGGAAUAUUGCACAAUGGGCGAAAGCCUGAUGCAGCAACGCCGCGUGAGGGAUGAAGGCCUUCGGGUUGUAAACCUCUUUUAGCAGGGAAGAAGCGAAAGUGACGGUACCUGCAGAAAAAGCACCGGCUAACUACGUGCCAGCAGCCGCGGUAAUACGUAGGGUGCAAGCGUUGUCCGGAAUUAUUGGGCGUAAAGAGCUCGUAGGCGGUUUGUCACGUCUGCUGUGAAAAUCCGAGGCUCAACCUCGGACUUGCAGUGGGUACGGGCAGGCUAGAGUGCGGUAGGGGAGAAGGGAAUUCCUGGUGUAGCGGUGGAAUGCGCAGAUAUCAGGAGGAACACCAAUGGCGAAGGCACUUCUCUGGGCCGUAACUGACGCUGAGGAGCGAAAGCGUGGGGAGCGAACAGGAUUAGAUACCCUGGUAGUCCAC